GUUAUAUGGUCAAGUGAAUAAGCGCAUGCGGUGGAUGCCUAGGCGGCAACAGGCGAUGAAGGACGUGUUAGUCUGCGAUAUGCCUCGGGGAGUCGACAAAUAGACUUUGAUCCGGGGAUUUCCGAAUGGGGAAACCCACUCAAUUUAUUGAGUAUCUUAUAGUGAAUACAUAGCUAUAUGAGGCGAACUCGGGGAACUGAAACAUCUAAGUACCCGAAGGAAAAGAAAUCAACCGAGAUUCCCUAAGUAGCGGCGAGCGAAAGGGGAACAGCCCAGUUACCAUCAAAUACAACAUUAUAGCAAAACGGUCUGGAAAGUCCGACGAUACAGGGUGAUAGUCCCGUAUGUGAAAUGGUGUUGUGUGGGGUAACAAAGAGUAGGUCGGGACACGUGAAAUCCUGAUUGAACAUGGGGGGACCAUCCUCCAAGGCUAAAUACUCGUUGCCGACCGAUAGUGAACUAGUACCGUGAGGGAAAGGCGAAAAGAACCCCGGAGAGGGGAGUGAA
RNAcentral lists this ribosomal RNA (507 nucleotides) under Kangiella sp. RNAcentral's name for it is "bacterial LSU rRNA". It matches the Rfam family "Bacterial large subunit ribosomal RNA", at positions 1 to 542 of the family's 2925-position model. Lineage: Bacteria; Pseudomonadati; Pseudomonadota; Gammaproteobacteria; Kangiellales; Kangiellaceae. The record is from RNAcentral.